This 525-nucleotide ribosomal RNA is filed under the name uncultured bacterium. RNAcentral's name for it is "bacterial SSU rRNA". It matches the Rfam family "Bacterial small subunit ribosomal RNA", at positions 355 to 896 of the family's 1533-position model. The record is from RNAcentral.
UGGGGAAUAUUGGACAAUGGGGGAAACCCUGAUCCAGCGACGCCGCGUGAGUGAAGAAGUAUUUCGGUAUGUAAAGCUCUAUCAGCAGGGAAGAAAAUGACGGUACCUGACUAAGAAGCCCCGGCUAACUACGUGCCAGCAGCCGCGGUAAUACGUAGGGGGCAAGCGUUAUCCGGAUUUACUGGGUGUAAAGGGAGCGCAGACGGCCAAGCAAGUCUGAAGUGAAAUGCAUGGGCUCAACCCAUGAAUUGCUUUGGAAACUGUUUGGCUUGAGUGUCGGAGGGGUAAGCGGAAUUCCUAGUGUAGCGGUGAAAUGCGUAGAUAUUAGGAGGAACACCGGAGGCGAAGGCGGCUUACUGGACGACAACUGACGUUGAGGCUCGAAGGCGUGGGGAGCAAACAGGAUUAGAUACCCUGGUAGUCCACGCAGUAAACGAUGAAUACUUGGUGUCGGGGAGGUAAACUCUUCGGUGCCGCAAGCAAACGCAUUAAGUAUUCCACCUGGGGAGUACGUUCGCAAGAAUG